AUUGAACGCUGGCGGCAUGCCUUACACAUGCAAGUCGAACGGUAACAGGUCUUCGGAUGCUGACGAGUGGCGAACGGGUGAGUAAUACAUCGGAACGUGCCCGAUCGUGGGGGAUAACGGAGCGAACGCUUUGCUAAUACCGCAUACGAUCUACGGAUGAAAGCAGGGGACCGCAAGGCCUUGCGCGGACGGAGCGGCCGAUGGCAGAUUAGGUAGUUGGUGGAUAAAAGCUUACCAAGCCGACGAUCUGUAGCUGGUCUGAGAGGACGACCAGCCACACUGGGAAUGAGACACGGCCCAGAGUCCUACGGGAGGCAGAAGUGGGGAAUUUUGGACAAUGGGCGAAAGCCUGAUCCAGCCAUGCCGCGUGCAGGAUGAAGGCCUUCGGGUUGUAAGCUGCUUUUGUACGGAACGAAAAGACUCUUUCUAAUAAAGAGGGUCCAUGACGGUACCGUAAGAAUAAGCACCGGCUAACUACGUGCCAGCAGCCGCCGUAA
This 497-nucleotide ribosomal RNA is filed under the name uncultured bacterium. Its description in RNAcentral is "partial 16S ribosomal RNA". It matches the Rfam family "Bacterial small subunit ribosomal RNA", at positions 30 to 523 of the family's 1533-position model. The record is from RNAcentral.